UACGUAGGGAGCAAGCGUUGUCCGGAAUCAUUGGGCGUAAAGCGCGCGUAGGUGGCCCGGUAAGUCCGCUCUGAAAGUCAAAGGCUCAACCUUUGAAAGCGGGUGGAUACUGCCAGGCUAGAGUCCGGAAGAGGCGAGUGGAAUUCCUGGUGUAGCGGUGAAAUGCGCAGAUAUCAGGAAGAACACCCGUGGCGAAGGCGGUUCUCUGGGACGGUACUGACGCUGAGACGCGAAAGCGUGGGGAGCGAACAGG
Molecule: ribosomal RNA, 253 nt
Filed under: uncultured bacterium
Lineage: Bacteria
Description: partial 16S ribosomal RNA
Rfam family: Bacterial small subunit ribosomal RNA
Source: RNAcentral